GGGGACGUAGCUCUAAUUGGGAGAGCGCCCGCCUUGCACGCGGGAGGUUGGCGGUUCGAACCCGCUCGUCUCCA
RNAcentral lists this transfer RNA (74 nucleotides) under Candidatus Acetothermia bacterium. Its description in RNAcentral is "tRNA-Ala". It matches the Rfam family "tRNA". Rfam says of the family: Transfer RNA (tRNA) molecules are approximately 80 nucleotides in length. Their secondary structure includes four short double-helical elements and three loops (D, anti-codon, and T loops). Lineage: Bacteria; Candidatus Bipolaricaulota. The record is from RNAcentral. RNAcentral also lists the same sequence under 2 other names.